This 1552-nucleotide ribosomal RNA is filed under the name Escherichia coli. RNAcentral's name for it is "bacterial SSU rRNA". It matches the Rfam family "Bacterial small subunit ribosomal RNA". Lineage: Bacteria; Pseudomonadati; Pseudomonadota; Gammaproteobacteria; Enterobacterales; Enterobacteriaceae. The record is from RNAcentral.
AAAUUGAAGAGUUUGAUCAUGGCUCAGAUUGAACGCUGGCGGCAGGCCUAACACAUGCAAGUCGAACGGUAACAGGAAGCAGCUUGCUGCUUUGCUGACGAGUGGCGGACGGGUGAGUAAUGUCUGGGAAACUGCCUGAUGGAGGGGGAUAACUACUGGAAACGGUAGCUAAUACCGCAUAACGUCGCAAGACCAAAGAGGGGGACCUUCGGGCCUCUUGCCAUCGGAUGUGCCCAGAUGGGAUUAGCUAGUAGGUGGGGUAACGGCUCACCUAGGCGACGAUCCCUAGCUGGUCUGAGAGGAUGACCAGCCACACUGGAACUGAGACACGGUCCAGACUCCUACGGGAGGCAGCAGUGGGGAAUAUUGCACAAUGGGCGCAAGCCUGAUGCAGCCAUGCCGCGUGUAUGAAGAAGGCCUUCGGGUUGUAAAGUACUUUCAGCGGGGAGGAAGGGAGUAAAGUUAAUACCUUUGCUCAUUGACGUUACCCGCAGAAGAAGCACCGGCUAACUCCGUGCCAGCAGCCGCGGUAAUACGGAGGGUGCAAGCGUUAAUCGGAAUUACUGGGCGUAAAGCGCACGCAGGCGGUUUGUUAAGUCAGAUGUGAAAUCCCCGGGCUCAACCUGGGAACUGCAUCUGAUACUGGCAAGCUUGAGUCUCGUAGAGGGGGGUAGAAUUCCAGGUGUAGCGGUGAAAUGCGUAGAGAUCUGGAGGAAUACCGGUGGCGAAGGCGGCCCCCUGGACGAAGACUGACGCUCAGGUGCGAAAGCGUGGGGAGCAAACAGGAUUAGAUACCCUGGUAGUCCACGCCGUAAACGAUGUCGACUUGGAGGUUGUGCCCUUGAGGCGUGGCUUCCGGAGCUAACGCGUUAAGUCGACCGCCUGGGGAGUACGGCCGCAAGGUUAAAACUCAAAUGAAUUGACGGGGGCCCGCACAAGCGGUGGAGCAUGUGGUUUAAUUCGAUGCAACGCGAAGAACCUUACCUGGUCUUGACAUCCACGGAAGUUUUCAGAGAUGGAAUGGUGCCUUCGGGAACCGUGAGACAGGUGCUGCAUGGCUGUCGUCAGCUCGUGUUGUGAAAUGUUGGGUUAAGUCCCGCAACGAGCGCAACCCUUAUCCUUUGUUGCCAGCGGUCCGGCCGGGAACUCAAAGGAGACUGCCAGUGAUAAACUGGAGGAAGGUGGGGAUGACGUCAAGUCAUCAUGGCCCUUACGACCAGGGCUACACACGUGCUACAAUGGCGCAUACAAAGAGAAGCGACCUCGCGAGAGCAAGCGGACCUCAUAAAGUGCGUCGUAGUCCGGAUUGGAGUCUGCAACUCGACUCCAUGAAGUCGGAAUCGCUAGUAAUCGUGGAUCAGAAUGCCACGGUGAAUACGUUCCCGGGCCUUGUACACACCGCCCGUCACACCAUGGGAGUGGGUUGCAAAAGAAGUAGGUAGCUUAACCUUCGGGAGGGCGCUUACCACUUUGUGAUUCAUGACUGGGGUGAAGUCGUAACAAGGUAACCGUAGGGGAACCUGCGGUUGGAUCACCUCCUUACCUUAAAGAA